This 332-nucleotide unclassified non-coding RNA is filed under the name soil metagenome. RNAcentral describes it as "partial contains 5.8S ribosomal RNA, internal transcribed spacer 2, and large subunit ribosomal RNA". The stretch from base 1 to 120 matches the Rfam family "5.8S ribosomal RNA", at positions 35 to 154 of the family's 154-position model. The record is from RNAcentral.
GAUGAAGAACGCAGCAAAAUGCGAUAAGUAAUGUGAAUUGCAGAAUUCAGUGAAUCAUCGAAUCUUUGAACGCACAUUGCGCCCGCCAGUAUUCUGGCGGGCAUGCCUGUUCGAGCGUCAUUUCAACCCUCAAGCACAGCUUGGUGUUGGGACUCGCGUUAAUUCGCGUUCCCCAAAUUGAUUGGCGGUCAUGUCGAGCUUCCAUAGCGUAGUAGUAAAACCCUCGUUACUGGUAAUCGUCGCGGCCACGCCGUUAAACCCCAACUUCUGAAUGUUGACCUCGGAUCAGGUAGGAAUACCCGCUGAACUUAAGCAUAUCAAUAAGCGGAGGA